This is a non-coding RNA of Cephalotrichum gorgonifer, 83 nucleotides long. The record is from the annotation of a GenBank genome assembly. NCBI's taxonomy places the organism in Eukaryota, Fungi, Ascomycota, Sordariomycetes, Microascales, Microascaceae.
GCUCCUAUGGCCAAGGGGUAAGGCGUUGCACUUGUAUUACAUAAGUUAUGCAAAGAUCCGUGGUUCAAAUCCGCGUGGGAGCU